Molecule: long non-coding RNA, 4546 nt
Filed under: Brassica napus (rape)
Lineage: Eukaryota; Viridiplantae; Streptophyta; Magnoliopsida; Brassicales; Brassicaceae
Description: long non-coding RNA (BNAP_LNC003791)
Source: RNAcentral
UCAUUUUGAUUUAUUGUUUUUUUUUUUACAAACAGAUAUGUCCAUCAAUCACUCUUUCACUUAUCAAGAGAAUACUAUGCAACUUCACUCCUGAUGAGUUCUGUCCAGAAGAUGUACCUGGAGCUGUCCUAGAAGAGCUAAAUGCCGCCGAGGUACAAUCAGAAGAAGCAAGCUUCCCUUAUGCGGCUUCUUCUGUUACUUACAAGCCUCCAUCGACCAUGGAUGUAGCGGAGAAAGUUGCGGAGGCUGCAGGGAAGUUGUCGAGGAAUGUGUCUAUGAUACAGAGGAAAGGGUACACGAGCGACGAGGAGCUUGAGGAGCUGGACUCUCCUCUUACAUCUAUUGUUGAUAAAACGAGUGAGUUUAAUGAUUCUGCGACCUCAAAUGCAAGAUACAAUCUCCUUCGACAAGUGUGGGCUUAGUUAUUUAUGUUGUUACAUAGAUACUCUUAAUGAAGAAGGGACUCAUUGUAAUAACUUUUGUGUAAUUUUUUCAAGAACAGUUUGGGAGAGAUCUAAGAGAAAAAAUGACAUUGUUUAUAUUCUUAAACAAGCAUUAUCAUUUUAAGUUCUUUGGCAACUUCAAUCAUCUUUGGAACUUCUUCUCCUACACAGCCAAUGCAUCACAGUGAGAGUAUAAAGAAAGUCUUAAACUGCCAUGUCUCUUCUUCCUUGCAGCUCUCCAACACCUUUGGAUCAACAAUCCCAACAAAUCCACCAUCUUCAACCAACUCUAUAGGAGAAUCCUUGUACAGUUUGACAACAAGACUCGGUUGCAAAGCAGUCAAAAGAGUAAUCAUGAAUGCUCCAAAGCCAUAGACAUCAGUGUUCUCUGUCACUACCCCAGUAGCCAUAUAGUUGUGAUCAAGGCUUUUGAGUAUCUUCAGUUGUGGUAUUUGCUAAAAUUUUACUGCUCAUUGCAUCAGUGCUGGAUGUUUUGAACAAUUCAGUGAUGGCUAAUAGUGUCGUAUUAGGAUGUGUGGAUAUUGAAUUGUGAGCAUUUUAGCAAAUAUUGAGCUUUCGAAAUAGUUGUUUGCAUGCUUGGGGGAAUUGAUAAAUUGGGUAUCAAUCAAGGAGCUUGUUCUUGAAUCAGUGGCAAGUUUGGAGUUGAGGUGAACUUCACUCAAUGUUGGGCUGAUAAGGUUUAGAAAUCAUGGCAGCUUACAAGUAAUGCCAUUUCAAGUAGUAUUACUCAUAGGUUCUUUGUCUCUGGUCCAUGAGCUUUCUAUUGAAUAAUGCCAUUUCAAGUAGUAUCAUUCGUGUAUCCCAAAUCUUGUGAUUAGUUUCCUUUAAGUGUGGUCUGACAGCAUCCUCUUUAAAUAUAGAGUAGUUCAAUGCCGUGUCUGUUUUUAGCGAGUUUCGUCUCAUCCUCUAAUUUCAUAAAUGAUGAAUUAAACAAAAUGAAAGAGAUUAGGAUUAAACAAACUCAGUUACCUUAUUGCAAGCAUUGUUGUUUAUUUGCCGUGUCUUCAAGUUGCAUCACAUCGGGAGGGGUGUUCUAGUCAUUCCUUCUCUCUGUGUGUAUGUCUCUCCCGAGAGUAUGAACACUGACACACGAUUUAGGCUUUGAUAUAUCAAUGAAACAAAACACGAUCACAUGUUUUUUUUACUGGAGACCCAAAUAAGAGUCCAGUGUAAAGCCAUGUGAAGAACCUUUGUCCUCUUAUCCAUUUUCUUCUGUACGUCUGACACGGUUUCUUUUGUUAAUUCCAAUUCAAGAACACUAUUUGAUGUCGGUGGAGUCAGUGAGAUGUGUUUGGACCAAAGAGAAAAGCACACUACUGUCAUUUAAAAAGAGAAGCUACUUUUUUCCGGGUUAUGUGACCGGCUAUUUCCAGUGAACAGUCUAGCCACCGACACAACCUUCCAUAGUUUCACGACCACAGUCACUGUCCCUUUCCGUACAGGAUCCAUGUUUUUCUUUCUUUCUUAAAUGCACCACCAUAACUUCCCCCACUCACUCGGAUCUCCCAUAGUGAGAGAAGAGAGAGAAGAUAGCUUCUUCUUUAUUGUGGUUUACAGAUAAAGACAGCUAAUCUCAGAGUAGAGACUUCACCCUCAGUAGAUUAAAGUAACCGAGGAAGACAACCUCCCAAAGUCACUGGUAAGCUCCUCUUCUUUUGCUUGUUGACUUCUCUUAGUCCUCAUGGUUGUUUCAUGCUCUGUUUCGCUCUCUGUUUACUAGUAUAUUUUCUUGGAUACUCUGGAUUUCAAUUAGUCUGAUUAGUUUUAAUCAUUCCUGUUAAAUCUGAUUAUUCUAGUAAAACCACUUACAUAUAGUGAAUCCAGCCAUGUUCUAUCAAAACAACUACGAACAAGUUGCUGGGACCUCUACUGCAGUUUAAGACAAAACUUAGCAAGACUGAACAUGUCCUUUUCUUCCUCCAUUAUAAGCUGUCGUUUUCAGUAACCUGAACAUAUCCAGCUGUGUUUUUUUUAAAUCCUUUCAUCUUUUAGAGGCUUAUCACAAGGGAAACACAGAUCUUGUUGAAUUGUUUUCUCACUUGGAAGUUGAAAGUAACUGUUGCUUUGGCUGAGAGCUUGAUGAUGAAGGCAAGAUCAGUGAACAAUGUCCAGUCAAAGCGAUCCACCAAGAGUGGAAGAAAAGACCAGAAGCUGCAGAAGACUAACAGCCAGAAAAAAUCAUCAGAACAAGAGAAACACAAGGAGGCCUUAGAGUCUAACAUCCUCACAACAGUGGCUAGUGACUCAACAACUCAGUCAGAUCCUUCCGAGGCUUACGAGACAGUAGACGUCCGCUACUUGGACGAUGUAACCGUAAGAAAGGAGAAAGAUGAAGCUGAUGAUGACGAACAAGAAGAAGUUAAAGGUGCCAAUGCUGAUGUGUGGGAAGAUGCUUCUAACGGCGCUCUUAGUGCCGGAAGCGAGAACGAGGCCCCUGAUGUAACAGAGAGUAUUGAGGAUGGAUCUUUGAAAGAGAAGAUUGAGCAUCUUGAGACGAGAAUCGAGAGACUUGAAGAGGAGCUUAGAGAAGUCGCUGCACUCGAGGUUUCUCUCUACUCUGUCGUCCCUGACCAUUCCAGCUCUGCGCACAAGCUUCAUACUCCUGCUAGGCGUAUCUCUAGAAUCUACAUUCAUGCUUGUAAGCAUUUCGCUAGAGGGAGGCGAGCUACCAUCGCUAGAAACUCUGUUUCUGGUCUGGUUUUGGUUGCUAGAUCUUGUGGGAAUGAUGUUUCAAGGUAAAGAAAAAAAAACAAAUACUCUUAAUGUUUUUUAACAUGUUUCAGGAUCUUGAUUCUUGGUUUUUCUCAAACUCUUUUAGGUUGACGUUUUGGUUAUCGAACAUUAUAACUCUAAGGGAGAUUAUUUCGCAAGCGUUUGGUAAGUCUCGUGUCACGGAGAGCUCUGAAGCUAAUAAUGGGAGUGAGAAUGGUGGUGAUUCAGGGAAGAAGACGAACUUGAGAUGGAAGAAUGGUUUGCAAGAGCUUCUUGAGGAUUGGCAAGAAACUGAAACGUUCACCGCUGCUUUGGAGAAAGUAGAGCUUUGGGUCUUCUCUAGAAUCGUGGAGUCUGUUUGGUGGCAGGUAUAAACACAAGAGAUUGAGAUUCUUUUUAAGUUUGUGUAUGUAACAACAUCUCACUCUUGUUCUCUUAUCUUUAAGGUCUUUACUCCUCAUAUGCAAUCCCCUGAGAACAACAACUCUUCAGCUUCUAAAUCGAAUGAGAAGCAAGGAGCCUUUUCUAUUACCCUAUGGAAGAAUGCCUUUGGAGAUGCUCUGCAACGGCUUUGUCCUAUGAGAGGGGGAGGACAUGAAUGUGGCUGCUUACCUGUAUUGGCUAGAAUGGUGAUGGAGAAGUGUGUUGGUAGAUUUGAUAUAGCCAUGUUCAAUGCUAUUCUGCGCGAGUCAGAACAUCAGAUACCAACUGAUCCAGUCUCUGAUCCUAUUCUUGAUACCAGAGUUCUGCCUGUUCCUGCUGGAGACUUGAGCUUUGGAUCAGGAGCACAGCUCAAAAACGCGGUAACCAAAAUAAAACAAAGUUCAGUUUCUUUCAUAACCAUUAGAGAGUUGACUAAUGUAAUGUCACUAUAUUCUCCUGUUGCAGAUUGGUAACUGGUCUAGAUCCCUCACUGAAAUGUUCGGUAUGAACUCAGAUGAUGAUCAAGUAGAAAGUGAAGGCAGUGAUAGUAGUAAAGCCUUUGUGUUGUUAAAUGAACUUAGUGAUCUUCUUAUGCUCCCUAAAGACAUGCUUAUGGAAAGUUCCAUUAGAGAAGAGGUAUGAUGUUCUUUGGUUUAAGCCUCAUUACAUUCACAAGUUUUGUCAUUUUGAUUUAUUGUUUUUUUUUUUACAAACAGAUAUGUCCAUCAAUCACUCUUUCACUUAUCAAGAGAAUACUAUGCAACUUCACUCCUGAUGAGUUCUGUCCAGAAGAUGUACCUGGAGCUGUCCUAGAAGAGCUAAAUGCCGCCGAGGUACAAUCAGAAGAAGCAAGCUUCCCUUAUGCGGCUUCUUCUGUUACUUACAAGCCUCCAUCGACCAUGGACGUAGCGGAGAAAGUUGCGGAGGCUGCAGGGAAGUUGUCGAGG